AGUAAAGUCAGCUAAAUAAGCUAUCGGGCCCAUACCCCGAAAAUGCCACUACGGCCUUCACUA
RNAcentral lists this transfer RNA (63 nucleotides) under Boa constrictor (boa). RNAcentral describes it as "tRNA-Met". The record is from RNAcentral. Lineage: Eukaryota; Metazoa; Chordata; Lepidosauria; Squamata; Boidae. RNAcentral also lists the same sequence under 1 other name.